RNA transcript from Zootermopsis nevadensis, 4341 nucleotides. RefSeq lists it as uncharacterized. The record is from RefSeq and is a predicted model, not a curated record. NCBI's taxonomy places the organism in Eukaryota, Metazoa, Arthropoda, Insecta, Blattodea, Termopsidae.
ACUACUAGUCAGUCAAUGGAGGUUUCUGUUUAUCAACCAUUUGGAAUAUAUCAUAGGACAUACAGUGGAACAGUAAGGGAAUUACCUGAAAAAAUUGUUUCAGAUCCACACAUCACUCACAACAUAUUAAGUAUAGAGACUCAGCAAACUGCAAGUGUCAAAGAUAUGUUACAGACACAUAGGAGGCAAUCUAGCAACUACAAACCAAGAAGUCAACCAGAUAUUGGAGAAGUUUUUGGUUCUAGAAAUGAAAAGGUGGUUGAAAUUGAAUCUGAAGGACUUGGAACCCAAGUUAGUGAUUCAGAAGAUAUUCAGGUAGUAGCAGAUAUAGGUGGUAAGAAAGAUAAAUGUGACAGUCAUAAUUAUUUACAUGAUACAAAGACUGAGCUCUCAGUAGUGGCUAAGGAAGAAGGAAACACAACUGCUGAAGUUACAUGUAAACAAUCUGAGCAGAGGGAAAUAACCAUUCUCACAGUUGUAAAAUGUGUUCCCAUGCCCACUUCAGAAAGUUCCCAGACUUCUUCAUUGGAUGAAACUUCAACUAUUACCAAAGAAGACAAAGGAUCUGACAAAAGAGAAUCUGAUUCAGAUGUAGAAGUGGAAAUUCUUGUGGAGAAAUCAGAGCUACAAGUGACAGAAAGUAUGUACCAUUCUGAAGACAAACUACUGUUAGAUGAAGAUUAUGAAGAAAGCAAAUCUCUCUUAGAAGAAGAGUCUGAAGAUUACAAAGAUAGCAAGCUAAUGAUGUGGUUUGAAUGUGAGGAGGAGAUGCCAAUGUGGCAUGAUACUGAGAAGACUUUUCAGACGUGGCAUGAAUCAGAGGUGACAGCUGUGAGUGAGAGAAUGAAAUUUGUAAUUCAGUGUGCAGUUUGUGAGAAGGCUGCAAAGGUCAAAUGCUCUGGGUGCCUCAUCACGUGCUACUGUAGUGCUGAAUGUCAGCUAGAGGAUUGGAAUACUGCACACCAUACUGUGUGCUGUGCUGAUCUGGAUGGAUGAUAUCUUCUGGAUUCAUACAAAGUCGCAAAGAAUAAAAGUCAAUAAAUGGAGAUUAGAAUUGAAUUGAAGUAUACUUUUGAACAAGAGGACAGUUCUGUGAAUUAAACAGUAUUAAGAUUAAAAUAUAAAGCAACCCAUUGAUAAUUUUUAAUAAUCCUGUCAUCUGUAAGCAACAAUACAUUGUGUGUGUGUGACCACAGCAAACAAAAGAGUUCAGCAUUUCUUGUUUGUGACUAAGGGAAAAAGGUGACAAUAUAAAGUCCACUGUUGGUGUAAAUGAGAAAUUAAGAACAAAAUGUAAUGUUAUAGAGUGGGUUAUCCUGAGAAAGGUUAGAAUAAGACUGAAAUAUACAGUCAUAGUGACAUGUUUGCCUUCCCAUGAGAGUCCAUCAUGUAUGUGUAAUAAGAGUUUUUAUGAUAAGGCUGUGAUUGUAACUAUUAGGUCACUUAAAAUAUCUUUCUGAAUGCUCAUUUUAAAGCUUUCUGAAAUCCAGUCAACAAUUUGUGCAUGACAAAGACAAUUUCUGAUACACAGAAGAGAUUAGCCUAUAGAAUACUGUUUAAUGAUUAGGAAUAUUUUUAAGAUUUCAGGGUUGUUGCAAAUAUGUUGCUUGUUUCAUAAUUUAGGUAAUGUUUUUAAUUUCAUAAUUUAUAAUAAGUACCUAUAUUUUUAUUUUUAAAAGUGUGAUAUAGAAAUGAAGUCCAUUUUCAUUAGUUUUGAUUGCUUCAGUCAAAAUUUAUACUGUGCGUGGUAGGUAGGGACACAGAUGCAUACAUCAUAUUCACAAUAGAUUUUCUAACCCUUUGCUGCAACAUUUAAAUUCAUAUAUUUUGAUAGCUAACCAUUUGAUUUAAAUGGGCUUAGACCUUGUUUAUAGAAGUUUCUAUAAAGAGUUCAUUUAUGAAAACAUUAAUUUCUAUUAACAGUUUCUUGCUCAAGGAUACUGGGGAAUUACCUGUUCAAUGUGAAAAGUAAAUGGAUGAAUUAUUUAAUAAAAGUAGUUAACCACCAAUAACGUUUUAUUUAGAAUCUUACAUUUGCAUCUGCGAGCAACAGUUCAUUAUAGCCAGAUGAUCAGCAUGUAAAUACAUUCACUAUUAGAACAAGCCUUAGUUUUAAGAAGCAAAAGUUUCUUUUCAUUGGAGGAUCAAGAGCUGUUGCUAGUCUAUGAUUUACUACAAUUCUUAAUUUCUAACCUCAGAAACUUUGUUUCAGCAUUGACAUUUCUGUCUAUAAAUAUUUAUGGGGGUGGGGUGAAUCAUGAUCCAGCCUUUUAUAAGUUCAAAUUUAAAUUAUGUUUACUGCAAUAGUUCCUAUUUUUGUGACACAAGACGUAGGGGAUUAAAUCUGCGUAUCAUGGGACUGCCUGCUGGUCAUUAACAGUGGGGGUAAAGGCUAUCUGUAUAUUAAUUACAUGGUCACCUGGAUGAAACAUAAGAUGUGAUUCAUGGACAAUAAGGUUAACCAAUUAAGUAUGACUAUUGUUUAGUUAGAGAUGGUUGAACCGAUAAUUCAACAGUAUUUUAUUGCAUUUAUUGAGUAAUAAGAUUUUUAUUGUAUAUUAUUCAUUAGUUGCUCAGAAUUACAUGUAGUUUUGUUGCUUUCUGCACUGCUCACUAAUCAAGUUGCUCACAGGAAUACUGAAGUGUUCAGCGUCCUCUAAUGUUAAAAAAAUUCUAACAUUGCACGUGCCUGCAAUGUUUCUGUGGCACCUGUACUCAUACUAUAAUGUUUUAUUUUAUUUUCUUUGAAACUCCAUAUAGAAACAGUUUAGUACUAUUGAAGGUAUUGUCUUUUUAGUAUGUUGGAAGCCUUAGAGUUUGUGUGAAGUUUUGUUCAUUUUUCUUGUGGCAUGGGAACUUAAUCUUUAGAGAGUGAUACUGAAAUUGACUGAGCUUUUGUAGUGCCAGUUUUGUCUUUGUCCAGCAGCGUGAGAACAUCAGUUGUGACUUUGUGGCAGGUAAGUUGUUCAAGGAGACUUUCACCAUUAGAUUUACUACUAAUCCAGGUAUUUGGAAAAUGGAGGGGUGAAUAAUAUGUAAUAUAAACGAGAUUAUUUUGUAAUUUUAACUUUUGUAGAUGGUACUCAUUCUAGUAAAUUAAGAUUCAGAUCUUGGCUGAUGUUAAUAGUGAUAAUAAUUUUAAUUAAGACACAGGAACAGUAGAGUAUCUACUUUGUAGAUUUAAGAUUCAUUAUCAUCUUUAGUCUCUGGAUCCUGGGUUGUAAACACACUAUCUGUUUAUCUAUUUAAUAUACAGGUAGGUCAUAUACAAUUAUGUGCAGAUAAUUAUUUUCUUUAUAAUUGGUUUAGAUAUAACAUGUUUUUGAAUCUUAGAACAGAAAUGUAGGCCUGAAUUUUUGUCAUGCAUGAUGAUAAAAUUAGGUUAACUUCUUUAAAUCACUGCAAUUUUUUGAAGCAUUUAAGUGAAUUUUCAUACCUCUCAGUUUUAUUGUGACAAAUGGCAUGAUUUUCACAUGUUCAUCUUCACACUCCAUUAUAUUUAGGUUUUCUUCUCCAACUGUGAAUAUAAGCUUGUUGUGUUUCUUUGGUAUUUAUAUGUUUUAUUAAAUAUUUCUUAUUUGAUCUUUAGUUCCUGUUACAGAUAUUGUUUAGUUAUUACUAGUGUAGUUAUAAAAUACUUGACACCAUGGCUGUUGCUAUCCAUGAAUGGAUGAUUUGUGUGCGUGCGCACAUUUAGAAUCCCUGGUUGCCUUUCUAUUGUCUUUUUGUGAUGUAGUAUAGCAGUAUUGUAUGUCUGUGCAUUUAAUAAAACUAAAAUUCACUAAUAUCUUCUGAAUGGUUCAGGCACCCUUUGUGAUGCAGAGGCAGACAGACAUUGCUAAUUGUACAAAUUGUGGGUGUCAAAAAAAUUUGCACAUGAAUUAAAUCUCGAUAUAAUCUUUCUUCAUAAUUAUAAUGCUUUAUAUUAUGUGUAUGAGGAGGUGAAGAAGUUUUCAUAUAAAUGUAUGGUCUAAUGUAUCAUCAAAUUGAAGUGUCAUGCUACACUUCAUUGUGUUCAUUUCAUCAGUUGGUUGCUAAAAUUGUCAUUAGCACCAUGAUGUACUAAAAUUUCAAAAUAAUUGCAUUCAUUGAUUGUAUUUUCAUGUAUUCAUUUUGUGUUUAAACUAGUACUGUAAAAUAUCUCACAUUAUGUACAUCUUAUAUUUUGUACUUUUAUAUGUAAAUUAAAUUGAACGAAGUAUUGUGCUAAUAGUUUAUUAAGUAAACUAUGUCACAUACAUUGUAAAAGUGAAGUGAGUGUCCAUUAUUUGUCUGAACCAGUCAUAACAUUGAAGCAAUAUGGAGAUUAUAAAGUACCAUGUAUUUCUUUCAUACUAGUUA